ACUCCUACGGGAGGCAGCAGUGGGGAAUCUUAGACAAUGGGCGCAAGCCUGAUCUAGCCAUGCCGCGUGAGUGAUGAAGGCCUUAGGGUCGUAAAGCUCUUUCGCCUGUGAAGAUAAUGACGGUAGCAGGUAAAGAAACCCCGGCUAACUCCGUGCCAGCAGCCGCGGUAAUACGGAGGGGGUUAGCGUUGUUCGGAAUUACUGGGGCGUAAAGCGCACGUAGGCGGAUCGGAAAGUUGGGGGUGAAAUCCCGGGGCUCAACCCCGGAACUGCCUCCAAAACUAUCGGUCUAGAGUUCGAGAGAGGUGAGUGGAAUUCCGAGUGUAGAGGUGAAAUUCGUAGAUAUUCGGAGGAACACCAGUGGCGAAGGCGGCUCACUGGCUCGAUACUGACGCUGAGGUGCGAAAGUGUGGGGAGCAAACAGGAUUAGAUACCCUGGUAGCGACUGA
This 449-nucleotide ribosomal RNA is filed under the name uncultured bacterium. RNAcentral describes it as "bacterial SSU rRNA". It matches the Rfam family "Bacterial small subunit ribosomal RNA", at positions 335 to 799 of the family's 1533-position model. The record is from RNAcentral.